This 544-nucleotide ribosomal RNA is filed under the name Steinernema feltiae. RNAcentral describes it as "partial large subunit ribosomal RNA". It matches the Rfam family "Eukaryotic large subunit ribosomal RNA", at positions 400 to 949 of the family's 3401-position model. The record is from RNAcentral. Lineage: Eukaryota; Metazoa; Nematoda; Chromadorea; Rhabditida; Steinernematidae.
UGAACCGAUAGGAUGGAAGCAGAUGAAGUUGACGAACGUGUGUCGUAUUCAAAAUCGCUGUCAGCGGUUUGUUUUUACGGCCGAUGUGGGCCGGCGGCUUUGGUCAAUGCAACGCGUCUAGCGUCGAUGGUGACCCUGCGGAGGGACAAUCAGUCGUCGUACGGUGCUUGGUAUGGCUAAGGUUUCGCCGGUCUUAAAGUCAGCGCCUCAUCUGACCCGUCUUGAAACACGGACCAAGGAGUGUAGCGUUUGCGCAAGUCUUAGAGUGUAUCGAAACUUUGAGGCGUAACGAAAGUAAAUGCAGUUUAAUCUGCUGACUUGGGAUGCGUUGUCUCUUGUGGACGGCGCUGGACCAAGGUUUUAUCGCGAUCGCUUGCGGUGCGGUGAAAAUAGAGCGUAAACGGUGCGACCCGAAAGAUGGUGAACUAUGCCUGAGCAGGAUGAAGCCGGAGGAAACUCUGGUGGAAGUCCGAAGCGGUUCUGACGUGCAAAUCGAUCGUCUGACUUGGGUAUAGGGGCGAAAGACUAAUCGAACCAUCUAGUA